GCCCCUAUAGUUAAAUGGCAUAACAUCCAUGGUAAGGAUAAAUUUCAAGUUCGAUUCUUGAUGGGGGCACCA
Molecule: transfer RNA, 72 nt
Filed under: bacterium
Lineage: Bacteria
Description: tRNA-Thr
Rfam family: tRNA
About the family: Transfer RNA (tRNA) molecules are approximately 80 nucleotides in length. Their secondary structure includes four short double-helical elements and three loops (D, anti-codon, and T loops).
Source: RNAcentral